AGAGGGGGGACUGAGGCUGCUGUUGGGCUGUGUCAGCUCCUAUAGGUCCAUCAGGGACAGGCUUUGCAGGGAGUUGGGGCGUUCUGCAUGCAUCUGUUGUGGGGAAGGAUCUGGUUCUGCCUUUGCUGAAGCCACAGCAAGUGUUCCACUCAAUUUGCUGCAGUUAUUACUGGCGAGUGUUUUCUUUGGGUUAGGAAAUGACAUGGUACAAUGGUUAAACACUUAAAGUAGCUUCAAGUAGUCCAAGUGUGGUUAAAGUCGGGAAAAAUGAUUUUUACUUAAAUGAAAAAGUGGGGUUUUGUAUGUGGGGUUUUAUAUUUGUUCCUGCACAGCUUGAUGGCUUAAAGAUGUUUGUUAGUGCUUUACUGGAGAACGCUUUCUGAGGGUUAUCUGUUCCCUGAGCAGUUCCUGGUGCCUGGACCCUCCUGUACUGAGGAAAAAUGAGCAGCUCAGUGCACGACCUCAGACAGCCACACUGGCAAUGCUG
This 487-nucleotide long non-coding RNA is filed under the name Gallus gallus (chicken). RNAcentral describes it as "long non-coding RNA NONGGAT005453". The record is from RNAcentral. Lineage: Eukaryota; Metazoa; Chordata; Aves; Galliformes; Phasianidae.